CCGAGUCAAUUUGGGGGGGGUACAGGUACCGAGUCAAUGUGCAGAGGGCACAGGUUUUUCAAAGUCAUUUGUAAAGUGGCUAUGCAUAGAUAGGUAACAGCAAAUAGCAGCAGUGUAAAAACAAAGAGGGGGGCAAUAUAAAUAGUCAGGGAUUUGAUACAUUGUUCAGCAGUCUUAUGGCUUGGGGGUAGAAGCUGUUAAGGAACCUUUUGGACCUAGACUUGGCCCUUUGGUACCGCUUGUCGUGCAGUAGCAGAGAGAGCAGUCUAUGAUUUGGGUGACUGGAGUCUUCGACAAUUUUUGGGGCCUUCCUCUGACACCGCCUAUUAUAUAGGUCCUGGAUGGCAGGAAGCUCCCGAGUGGCGCAGCGGUCUAAGGCACUGCAUCCCAGUGCUAGAGACGUCACUACAGACCCUGGUUCGAUUCCAGGCUGUAUCACAACCGGUCUUGAUUGGGAGUCCCAUAGGGUUGCGCACAGUUGGCCCAGCAUCAUCCGGGUUAGGGUUUGGCUGGGGUAGGCCGUCAUUGUAAAUAAGAAUUUAUUCUUAACUGACUUGCCUAGUUAAAUCAAAUUUUUAAAAAAUACGCUUGGCCCCAGUGAUAUACUGGCCCGUACGCACUACCCUCUGUAGCGCCUUAUGGUCGGAUGCCGAGCAGUUGCCAUACCAGGCGGUGAUACAACCAGUCAGGAUGCUCUCGAUGGUGCGGCUGUAGAACUUUUGGGGGAUCUGGGGACCCAUUCAGUCUCCUGGGGGGGAAAAGGUGUUGUCGUCUUCACAAAUGUCUUGGUGUGUUUGAAGCAUGAGAGUUUGUUGGCGAUGUGGUCACCAAGGAUCUUGAAACUCUCGACCUCUCGUCCACUUCAGCCCAGUCAAUGUUAAUGGAGGCGAGUCCACGAUCAGAUCCUUUAUCAUCGUUGAGGGAGAGAUUGUUGUCCUGGCACCACACUGCCAGGUCUCUGACCUCCUCCCUAUAGGCUGUCUCAUCGUUGUCAGGUCUCUGACCUCCUCCCUAUAGGCUGUCUCCUCGUUGUCAGGUCUCUGACCUCCUCCCUAUAGGCUGUCUCAUCGUUGUCAGGUCUCUGACCUCCUCCCUAAUGGCUGUCUCAUCGUUGUCAGGUCUCUGACCUCCUCCCUAUAGGCUGUCUCAUCGUUGUCAGGUCUCUGACCUCCUCCCAAUAGGCUGUCUCAUCGUUGUCAGGUCUCUGAUCUCCUCCCUAUAGGCUGUCUCAUCGUUGUCAGGUCUCUGACCUCCUCCCUAUAGCCUGUCUCAUCGUUGUCAGGUCUCUGAUCUCCUCCCUAUAGGCUGUCUCAUCGUUGUCAGGUCUCUGACCUCCUCCCUAUAGGCUGUCUCAUCGUUGUCAGGUCUCUGACCUCCUCCCUAUAGGCUGUCUCAUCGUUGCCAGGUCUCUGACCUCCUCCCUAUAGGCUGUCUCGUCGUUGUCAGGUCUCUGACCUCCUCCCUAUAGGCCGUCUCAUCGUUGUCAGGUCUCUGACCUCCUCCCUAUAGGCCGUCUCAUCGUUGUCAGGUCUCUGACCUCCUCCCUAUAGGCUGUCUCAUCGUUGUCAGGUCUCUGACCUCCUCCCUAUAGGCUGUCUCAUCGUUGCCAGGUCUCUGACCUCCUCCCUAUAGACUGUCUCAUCGUUGUCAGGUCUCUGACCUCCUCCCUAUAGGCUGUCUCAUCGUUGUCAGGUCUCUGACCUCCUCCCUAUAGGCUGUCUCAUCGUUGUCAGGUCUCUGACCUCCUCCCUAUAGGCUGUCUCAUCGUUGCCAGGUCUCUGCCCUCCUCCCUAUAGACUGUCUCAUCGUUGUCAGGUCUCUGACCUCCUCCCUAUAGGCUGUCUCAUCGUUGCCAGGUCUCUGACCUCCCUAUAGGCUGUCUCAUCGUUGUCAGGUCUCUGUCCUCCUCCCUAUAGGCUGUCUCAUCGUUGUCAGGUCUCUGUCCUCCCUAUAGGCUGUCUCAUCGUUGUCAGGUCUCUGACCUCCUCCCUAUAGGCUGUCUCAUCGUUGUCAGGUCUCUGUCCUCCCUAUAGGCUGUCUCAUCGUUGUCAGGUCUCUGACCUCCUCCCUAUAGGCUGUCUCAUCGUUGUCAGGUCUCUGACCUCCUCCCUAUAGGCUGUCUCAUCGUUGUCAGGUCUCUGACCUCCUCCCUAUAGGCUGUCUCAUCGUUGUCAGGCUGUCUCAUCGUUGCCAGGUCUCUGACCUCCUCCCUAUAGGCCGUCUCAUCGUUGUCAGGUCUCUGACCUCCUCCCUAUAGGCCGUCUCAUCGUUGUCAGGUCUCUGACCUCCUCCCUAUAGGCCGUCUCAUCGUUGUCAGGUCUCUGACCUCCUCCCUAUAGGCUGUCUCAUCGUUGUCAGGUCUCUGACCUCCUCCCUAUAGGCUGUCUCAUCGUUGCCAGGUCUCUGACCUCCUCCCUAUAGACUGUCUCAUCGUUGUCAGGUCUCUGACCUCCUCCCUAUAGGCUGUCUCAUCGUUGUCAGGUCUCUGACCUCCUCCCUAUAGGCUGUCUCAUCGUUGUCAGGUCUCUGACCUCCUCCCUAUAGGCUGUCUCAUCGUUGCCAGGUCUCUGCCCUCCUCCCUAUAGACUGUCUCAUCGUUGUCAGGUCUCUGACCUCCUCCCUAUAGGCUGUCUCAUCGUUGCCAGGUCUCUGACCUCCCUAUAGGCUGUCUCAUCGUUGUCAGGUCUCUGUCCUCCUCCCUAUAGGCUGUCUCAUCGUUGUCAGGUCUCUGUCCUCCCUAUAGGCUGUCUCAUCGUUGUCAGGUCUCUGACCUCCUCCCUAUAGGCUGUCUCAUCGUUGUCAGGUCUCUGACCUCCCUAUAGGCUGUCUCAUCGUUGUCAGGUCUCUGUCCUCCUCCCUAUAGGCUGUCUCAUCGUUGUCAGGUCUCUGUCCUCCCUAUAGGCUGUCUCAUCGUUGUCAGGUCUCUGACCUCCUCCCUAUAGGCUGUCUCAUCGUUGUCAGGUCUCUGUCCUCCCUAUAGGCUGUCUCAUCGUUGUCAGGUCUCUGACCUCCUCCCUAUAGGCUGUCUCAUCGUUGUCAGGUCUCUGACCUCCUCCCUAUAGGCUGUCUCAUCGUUGUCAGGUCUCUGACCUCCUCCCUAUAGGCUGUCUCAUCGUUGUCAGGCUGUCUCAUCGUUGCCAGGUCUCUGACCUCCUCCCUAUAGGCUGUCUCAUCGUUGUCAGGUCUCUGACCUCCUCCCUAUAGGCUGUCUCAUCGUUGUCAGGUCUCUGUCCUCCCUAUAGGCUGUCUCAUCGUUGCCAGGUCUCUGACCUCCUCCCUAUAGGCUGUCUCAUCGUUGCCAGGUCUCUGACCUCCUCCCUAUAGGCUGUCUCAUCGUUGUCAGGUCUCUGACCUCCUCCCUAUAGGCUGUCUCAUCGUUGUCAGGCUGUCUCAUCGUUGUCAGGUCUCUGACCUCCUCCCUAUAGGCUGUCUCAUCGUUGCCAGGUCUCUGACCUCCUCCCUAUAGGCUGUCUCAUCAUUGAGGGAGAGGUUGUUGUCCUGGCAACACACUGUCAGGUCUCUGACCUCCUCCCUAUAGGCUGUCUCAUCGUUGAGGGAGAGGUUGUUGUCCUGGCAACACAAUGUCAGGUCUCUGCCCUCCUCCCUAUAGGCUGUCUUAUCGUUGUCAGGUCUCUGACCUCCUCCCUAUAGGCUGUCUCAUCGUUGUCAGGUCUCUGACCUCCUCCCUAUAGGCUGUCUCAUCGUUGUCAGGUCUCUGACCUCCUCCCUAUAGGCCGUCUCAUCGUUGUCAGGUCUCUGACCUCCUCCCUAUAGGCUGUCUCAUCGUUGUCAGGUCUCUGACCUCCUCCCUAUAGGCUGUCUCAUCGUUGUCAGGUCUCUGACCUCCUCCCUAUAGGCUGUCUCAUCGUUGUCAGGUCUCUGACCUCCUCCCUAUAGGCUGUCUCCUCGUUGUCAGGUCUCUGACCUCCCUAGAGGCUGUUUCAUCAUUGUCGGUGAUCAGGCCUACCACUGCUGUGUUGUCUGCAAACUCAGUGAUGAUGUUGGAGUUGUGGUGAACAGGGAGUACAGGAGGGGACAAAGUACACACCCCUGAGGGGCCCCAGUGUUGAGGAUCAGCGUGGCAGACGUGUUGUUGCCUACCCUUACCACCUGGGGGCGGCCCGUCAGGAAGUCCAGGAUCCAGUUGCAGAGGGAGGUGUUUAGUCCCAGGGUCCUUAGCUUAGUGAUGAGCUUUGAGUGCAGUAUGGUGUUGAAGAUGAGCUGUAGUCAAUGAAGAACAUUCUCACAAAGGUGUUCCUUUUGUCCAGGUUGGAAAGGGAAGUGUGGAGAACGAUUGUGUCAUCUGUGUAUCUGUUGAGGCGGUAUGCGAAUUGGGUGGGUCUAGUGCUUCCGGCAUGAUGGUGUUGAUGUGAGCCAUGACUAGCCUUUCAAAGACCUUCAUGGCUUCCGACGUGAGUGCUACGGGGGUAAUCAUUUAGGCAGGUUACCUUCGCUAUUCUUGGGCACACGGAAUAUGGUGGUCUGUUUGAAGCAUUUAGGUAUUACAGACUCGGUCAGGGACAGGUUGAAAUUGUCAGUGAAGACACUUGCCAGUUGGUCGGUGCAUGCUUUGAGUACACAUCCUGGUAAUCCCGUCUGGCCCGCGGCCUCGAGUCUUCUUGGGUAACACACCUGUAUUUGGGGAGUUUCUCCCAUUCUUGUCUGCAGAUCCUCUCAAGCUCUGUCAGGUUGGAUGGGGAGUGUCGUUGCACAGCUAUUUCCAGGUCGCUCCAGAGAUGUUCGAUCGGGUUCAAGUCCGGGCUCUGGCUGGGCCACUCAAUGACAUUCAGAUACUUGUCCCGAAGCCACUCAUGCAUUGUUUUGGCUUUGUGCUUAGGGUCGUUGUCCUGUUGGAAGGUGAACCUUCACCCCCAGUCUGAGGUCCUAAGGGCUCUGGAGCAGGUUUUCUUCAAUGAUCUUUUUGUACUUUGCUCUGUUCAUCUUUCGCUCGAUUCUGACUAGUCUCCCAGACCCUGCCUCUGAAAAACAUCCCCAGAGCAUGAUGCUGCCACCACCAUGCUUCACCGUAGGCAUGGUGACAGGUUUCCUCCAGAAGUGAUGCUUGGCAUUCAGGACAAAGAGUUCAAUCUUGGUUUCAUCAGACCAGAGAAUCGUGUUUCUCAUGGACUGAAAGUCUUUAGGUGCCUUUAGGCAAACUGAAAGCAAGCUGUUAUGUGCCUUUUACGUAACAAAAUGUGGAAAAAGUCAAGGGGUCUGAAUACUUUGCGAAUGCACUCUAUAUACAAAAGUAUGUGGACACCCCUUCAAAUGAGUGGAAUCAGCUAUUUCAGCCACACCCAUUGCUGAAAGGUGUUUAAAAUUGAGCACACCGCCAUGCAAUCUCCUUAGACAAAAAAUAUCAGUACAAUGGCCUUACUGAAGACCUCACUGGCCUUCCACGUGUCACUGUCAUAGGAUGCCACCUUUCCAACAAGUCAGUUCGUCAAAAGUCUGCCCUGCUAGAGCUGCCCCGGUCAACUGUAAGUGCUGUUAUUGUGAAGUGGAAACAUCUAGGAGCAGCAACUUCUCAGCCAGUAAAAUUCAUCUGUCUUCAGUUGCAACACUCACUACCGAGUUCCAAACUGUCUCUGGAAGCAACAUCAGAACAAGAACUGUUUAUCAGGAGCUUCAUGAAAUGGGUUUCCAUGGCCGAGCAGCCGUACACAAGCCUAAGUUCGCCGCCAUUGGACUCUGGAGCAGUGGAAACGUGUUCUCUGAAAUGACGAAUCACGCUUCCCCAUCUGCCAGUCCGCAUACAAAUCUGGGUUUGGUGGAUGCCAUGAGAUUGGUGCCUGCCUGAAUGUAAAGUUUGGUGAAGGAGGAAUAAUGGUCUGGAGUUGUUUUUCAUGGUUCAGGCCCUUUUGUUCCAGAGAAGGGAAAUCUUAACGAUGCAGCAUUUAAUGACAUUCUAGAUGAUUCUGUGCUUCCAACUUUGUGGCAACAGUUUGGGGAAGGCCCUUUCCUGUUUCAGCAUGACAAUGCACCCGUGCACAAAGAGAGGUCCAGUUAAAGCAGACCUACUCCAUAUCAAUGGCCAUGAUUUUGGAAUGAAAUGUUCGACGAACAGAUGUCCACAUACUUAAGUCAUGUAAUGUGGAUUUAAGCAUUAAUUUAGAUAUUUUAAAUACUAUGAUUUCUAGAGGUGAGAAUAUGAAUAGCAUAGAUACUUUAUGUGUACCUGUUGUAAUAUGCUCAAUACAUUUUCUGCAUGUAACAUUUUGUAUAUAUUUCUUGCAGUAAAUUAUUUGUAAAUUACCAAAAAUGUGCUUUUAAAUUUUUUUUUUGACAAAGUGCAUGGGUUUGUGUGUCCGAUCAUGUUACACUGAAUGUUUUAAAUGUUUGAUGCCAUAGUCUAUGGGUGUGUGUGUCUGAAUGUUUUGGGCGUAGAGCUAAAGUAUUUGACAUACCAUAAAACUUCAAUUAAAAGCUCA
Molecule: long non-coding RNA, 6431 nt
Organism: Salvelinus fontinalis (brook trout)
Lineage: Eukaryota; Metazoa; Chordata; Actinopteri; Salmoniformes; Salmonidae
Exons: 5
Source: RefSeq, a predicted model, not a curated record